UUAACCUACGGGGGGCAGCAGUGAGGAAUAUUGGUCAAUGGGCUUACGCCUGAACCAGCCAAGUCGCGUGAGGGAAGACUGCCCUAUGGGUUGUAAACCUCUUUUGUCAGGGAGCAACGCCGGCUACGUGUAGCCGGACUGAGAGUACCUGAAUAAAAAGCAUCGGCUAACUCCGUGCCAGCAGCCGCGGGAAUACGGAGGAUGCGAGCGUUAUCCGGAUUUAUUGUGUUUGAAGUGUGCGUAGGCGGAAUGCCAAGUCAGCGGUAAAAUAGCGGGGCUCAACUUCGCU
RNAcentral lists this ribosomal RNA (289 nucleotides) under uncultured bacterium. RNAcentral describes it as "partial 16S ribosomal RNA". It matches the Rfam family "Bacterial small subunit ribosomal RNA", at positions 334 to 619 of the family's 1533-position model. The record is from RNAcentral.